UGGGGAAUAUUGCACAAUGGGCGAAAGCCUGAUGCAGCAACGCCGCGUGAGUGAUGAAGGCCUUCGGGUUGUAAAGCUCUGUCUUUUGGGACGAUAAUGACGGUACCAAGGAGGAAGCCACGGCUAACUACGUGCCAGCAGCCGCGGUAAUACGUAGGUGGCAAGCGUUGUCCGGAUUUACUGGGCGUAAAGGAUGCGUAGGCGGAUUUUUAAGUGAGAUGUGAAAUACCCGGGCUUAACUUGGGUGCUGCAUUUCAAACUGGGAAUCUAGAGUGCGGGAGAGGAGAAUGGAAUUCCUAGUGUAGCGGUGAAAUGCGUAGAGAUUAGGAAGAACACCAGUGGCGAAGGCGAUUCUCUGGACCGUAACUGACGCUGAGGCAUGAAAGCGUGGGUAGCAAACAGGAUUAGAUACCCUGGUAGUCCACGCCGUAAACGAUGAGUACUAGGUGUAGGAGGUAUCGACCCCUUCUGUGCCGCAGUUAACACAAUCAAGUACUCCGCCCGGGAAGUACGAUCGCAAGAUUAAAACUUGAAAUGAAUUGACGGGGGUCAUAGCUGUUUUCCU
Molecule: ribosomal RNA, 565 nt
Filed under: uncultured bacterium
Lineage: Bacteria
Description: partial 16S ribosomal RNA
Rfam family: Bacterial small subunit ribosomal RNA
Source: RNAcentral